CACGCGACCCCAGCUUCAGGCGGGGCCACCCGCUGAGUUUAAGCAUAUCAAUAAG
This 55-nucleotide ribosomal RNA is filed under the name Tessmannia dewildemaniana. RNAcentral's name for it is "partial 26S ribosomal RNA". The record is from RNAcentral. Lineage: Eukaryota; Viridiplantae; Streptophyta; Magnoliopsida; Fabales; Fabaceae.